CAGCAAAUAGUUUAUUUAAAAUAUUAGUUUUGGAUACUGAUGAUGGAGCACUUUCUUUGCUGA
RNAcentral lists this transfer RNA (63 nucleotides) under Phymata americana. Its description in RNAcentral is "tRNA-Pro". Lineage: Eukaryota; Metazoa; Arthropoda; Insecta; Hemiptera; Phymatidae. The record is from RNAcentral.